RNAcentral lists this ribosomal RNA (253 nucleotides) under uncultured bacterium. RNAcentral's name for it is "partial 16S ribosomal RNA". It matches the Rfam family "Bacterial small subunit ribosomal RNA", at positions 524 to 776 of the family's 1533-position model. The record is from RNAcentral.
UACGUAGGGUGCGAGCGUUGUCCGGAAUUAUUGGGCGUAAAGGGCUCGUAGGCGGUCUGUCGCGUCGGGAGUGAAAACUCAGGGCUUAACCCUGAGCCUGCUUCCGAUACGGGCAGACUAGAGGUAUGCAGGGGAGAACGGAAUUCCUGGUGUAGCGGUGAAAUGCGUAGAUAUUGGGAGGAACACCGGUGGCGAAGGCGGCUACCUGGACCGGUACUGACGCUGAGGCGCGAAAGCUAGGGUAGCAAACAGG